This 342-nucleotide unclassified non-coding RNA is filed under the name soil metagenome. Its description in RNAcentral is "partial contains 5.8S ribosomal RNA, internal transcribed spacer 2, and large subunit ribosomal RNA". The stretch from base 1 to 120 matches the Rfam family "5.8S ribosomal RNA", at positions 35 to 154 of the family's 154-position model. The record is from RNAcentral.
GAUGAAGAACGUAGCGAAACGCGAUAAGUAAUGUGAAUUGCAGAAUCCAGUGAAUCAUCGAAUCUUUGAACGCACAUUGCGCCCGCCAGCAUUCUGGCGGGCAUGCCUGUUCGAGCGUCAUUUCAACCCUCGACCUCCCCUUGGGGAGGUCGGCGUUGGGGACCGGCAGCACACCGCCGGCCCUGAAAUGGAGUGGCGGCCCGUCCGCGGCGACCUCUGCGCAGUAAUACAGCUCGCACCGGGACCCCGACGCGGCCACGCCGUAAAACACCCAACUUCUGAACGUUGACCUCGAAUCAGGUAGGACUACCCGCUGAACUUAAGCAUAUAAUAAGCGGAGGA